This 253-nucleotide ribosomal RNA is filed under the name uncultured bacterium. RNAcentral's name for it is "partial 16S ribosomal RNA". It matches the Rfam family "Bacterial small subunit ribosomal RNA", at positions 524 to 776 of the family's 1533-position model. The record is from RNAcentral.
UACAGAGGGUGCGAGCGUUAAUCGGAGUUACUGGGCGUAAAGGGCGCGUAGGCGGUGAGGUAAGUGUGAUGUGAAAGCCCCGGGCUUAACCUGGGAAGUGCAUCGCAGACUGCUUGACUGGAGUAGAUGAGAGGGUGGCGGAAUUUCCGGUGUAGCGGUGAAAUGCGUAGAGAUCGGAAGGAACGUCAAUGGCGAAGGCAGCCACCUGGCAUCAUACUGACGCUGAGGCGCGAAAGCGUGGGGAGCGAACAGG